UACGGAGGGAGCUAGCGUUGUUCGGAAAUACUGGGCGUAAAGCGCACGUAGGCGGCGCAGCAAGUCAGGGGUGAAAUCCCCGAGCUCAACUCGGGAACUGCGUCCGAUACUGGCAGGCUUGAAUCCGGGAGAGGGAUGCGGAAUUCCAGGUGUAGCGGUGAAAUGCGUAGAUAUCUGGAGGAACACCGGUGGCGAAGGCGGCAUCCUGGACCGGCAUUGACGCUGAGGCGCGAAAGCCAGGGGAGCAAACGGG
RNAcentral lists this ribosomal RNA (253 nucleotides) under uncultured bacterium. RNAcentral describes it as "partial 16S ribosomal RNA". It matches the Rfam family "Bacterial small subunit ribosomal RNA", at positions 524 to 776 of the family's 1533-position model. The record is from RNAcentral.